Molecule: ribosomal RNA, 119 nt
Filed under: Pteropus alecto (black flying fox)
Lineage: Eukaryota; Metazoa; Chordata; Mammalia; Chiroptera; Pteropodidae
Source: RNAcentral
GUAUACGGCCAUGCCACCCUGAACAAGCUCAAUUAUGUCUGAUCUCAGAAGCUAAGCAGGGUCAGGCCUGGUGACUAUUUGGAUGGGAGACCGCCUAGGAAGACUAAGUGCUGUAGGUG